Molecule: long non-coding RNA, 622 nt
Organism: Limulus polyphemus (Atlantic horseshoe crab)
Lineage: Eukaryota; Metazoa; Arthropoda; Merostomata; Xiphosura; Limulidae
Exons: 2
Source: RefSeq, a predicted model, not a curated record
CCACCACGGGUAUCGAAACCCGGAUUCUAGCGUUGUAAGUCCGCAGACAUGCCGCUGUGCCAAUGGCGGGCACAAGUGUUGGAAGAAUGUCAAAUUCUCCGUGACUUGGGACGUUCAGAAUGUAUCAAUUAAGAAUACAAUUUUUGUUGUUGUGUUAGUAAAUGUAUAAGACUUAUUUACUAAAGCCAAAUUGGCGCAGUGGCACAGCGGUAUGUAUUCGGACUUACAACGCUAGAAUCGGGUAGCGAUACCCGUGGUGGGCAGAGCACAGAUAGACCAUUGUGCUUAAUUACAAACAAAUCAAAUUGGCGAUAUUUUCAUAUGUUUCAUCCAUGGUUGCCAGGCAACCCUAAAUAACGUUACUUGCUAAAGGACAACCUUACAAGAGAUUGCAAUCUCUAGCUAUGUUAAUAGAUAACUGAAACAUCACAUUAUUUUUAAAAUCGUUUUAAAAUAUCUGUAAACUACUCCAAUCUUUUAUCACACAAAAGAAAGCUUUUGAAAGUUCACUGGUGAAUAAAAACUGGACUAUUAACAAAUUCAGACAUACCAAGGUAAAACCAGCAAUAACAGUGUAUUCUACCCAAGGUAAAACCAGCAAUAACAGUGUAUUCUACCCAAG